AGUUUGAUCCUGGCUCAGAAUGAACGCCGGCGGCAUGGAUUAGGCAUGCAAGUCGAACGUGAUUCCAACCUUCGGGCUGGAUGAAAGUGGCGAAAGGGUGAGUAACACGUGAGCAACCUGCCCCCGAGCCCGGGAUAGCCCGCGGAAACGUGGAUUAAUACCGGAUGAGGUGCUGCGCUGCAUGGCGCGGUCACUAAAGUUUUUCGCUCAGGGAUGGGCUCGCGGCCCAUUAGCUUGUUGGCGAGGUAACGGCUCACCAAGGCUAUGACGGGUAGGUGGUCUGAGAGGAUGGUCACCCACACUGGGACUGAGACACUGCCCAGACUCCUACGGGAGGCUGCAGUCGAGAAUCUUCCGCAAUGGGCGCAAGCCUGACGGAGCGAUGCCGCGUGAGGGAUGAAGGCCUUCGGGUUGUAAACCUCUGUCAGAAGGGACGAAGAAUGUGACGGUACUUUCAGAGGAAGCCAUGGCUAACUACGUGCCAGCAGCCGCGGUAAUACGUAGAUGGCGAGCGUUAUUCGGAUUUACUGGGCGUAAAGGGUCCGUAGGGGGUCUGCCAAGUCCGAUGUGAAAGGUUGCGGCUCAACCGCAGCACUGCAUUGGAUACUGGCGGGCUGGAGUCUGCGAGGGGUGAGCGGAACUCCUGGUGUAGCGGUGGAAUGCGUAGAUAUCAGGAAGAACACCGAUGGCGAAGGCGGCUCACUGGCGCAGUACUGACCCUGAGGGACGAAAGCGUGGGGAGCAAACAGGAUUAGAUACCCUGGUAGUCCACGCUGUAAACGUUGUGCACUAGAUGUGGGGGGUAUUGACCCCCUCCGUGUCCAAGGCUAACCGCGAUAAGUGCCCCGCCUG
This 852-nucleotide ribosomal RNA is filed under the name uncultured bacterium. RNAcentral describes it as "bacterial SSU rRNA". It matches the Rfam family "Bacterial small subunit ribosomal RNA", at positions 10 to 875 of the family's 1533-position model. The record is from RNAcentral.